This 412-nucleotide ribosomal RNA is filed under the name uncultured bacterium. RNAcentral describes it as "bacterial SSU rRNA". It matches the Rfam family "Bacterial small subunit ribosomal RNA", at positions 45 to 458 of the family's 1533-position model. The record is from RNAcentral.
UGGCCUAACACAUGCAAGUCGAGCGAUGAAGCACCUUCGGGUGUGGAUUAGCGGCGAACGGGUGAGGAACACGUGAGGAAUCUGCCUUCCACUCUGGGAUAACUCCGGGAAACCGGGGCUAAUACCGGAUACUUUCAACUGGCGGCAUCGCCGGUUGAAGAAAGUUUUUCGGUGGAAGAUGACCUCGCGGCCUAUCAGCUUGUUGGUGAGGUAAUGGCUCACCAAGGCGACGACGGGUAGCCGGCCUGAGAGGGCGACCGGCCACACUGGGACUGAGACACGGCCCAGACUCCUACGGGAGGCAGCAGUGGGGAAUAUUGGGCAAUGGAGGAAACUCCGACCCAGCGACGCCGCGUGAGGGAUGAAGGCCUUCGGGUUGUAAACCUCUUCAGCAGGGAAUAAGCGAAAGGAA